UGCCAAGAUGGCAAACCUAGUGAAAGCUGGGGACGCAAAGCCACGGGCCCUUAGCGAACAAGAUCAAAAGAGGAGUUCAAAGGGUAGCCGGGUUACCGAAG
Molecule: non-coding RNA, 101 nt
Filed under: bacterium F11
Lineage: Bacteria
Description: Bacterium F11 c-di-GMP sequence
Rfam family: c-di-GMP-I-GGC riboswitch aptamer
Source: Rfam by way of RNAcentral